This 450-nucleotide ribosomal RNA is filed under the name uncultured bacterium. Its description in RNAcentral is "partial 16S ribosomal RNA". It matches the Rfam family "Bacterial small subunit ribosomal RNA", at positions 328 to 792 of the family's 1533-position model. The record is from RNAcentral.
UGACCAGACUCCUACGGGAGGCAGCAGUGGGGAAUAUUGGGCAAUGGGCGCAAGCCUGACCCAGCAACGCCGCGUGAAGGAAGAAGGCUUUCGGGUUGUAAACUUCUUUUCUCAGGGACGAAGAAGGUGACGGUACCUGAGGAAUAAGCCACAGCUAACUACGUGCCAGCAGCCGCGGUAAUACGUAGGUGGCAAGCGUUAUCCGGAUUUACUGGGUGUAAAGGGCGUGUAGGCGGGACUGCAAGUCAGAUGUGAAAACCACGGGCUCAACCUGUGGCCUGCAUUUGAAACUGUAGUUCUUGAGUACUGGAGAGGCAGACGGAAUUCCUAGUGUAGCGGUGAAAUGCGUAGAUAUUAGGAGGAACACCGGUGGCGAAGGCGGCCUGCUGGACUGCGACUGACGUUGAGGCCAGAAAGCGUGGGGAGCAAACAGGAUUAGAUACCCUCGUA